UAGUGCAUUUGAUACGAUAAUUGAACUGGGUAUACAGUUGUAUUUGCUUCGAUUUGAUAGAGCAGCAUGUAAAUAAAAGGGGCAUGUUUCUAAAGAAACUGUGGUGCUGCGUCGGUGGGGGUAACAGAGUAACUGCCAUGAUAAAAGAGGUGUCCAAAUCAAGCAUAGAUGGAGUGGUUGGAAAAGUAACAAAAGGAGGGAAACCUGCUAAAAUGAACACUGAUGAAGUCUAGCAUUGGACCAAGGAAACUUAUCAACCGUGGUAAUAAAGCAAAAGUGAGGGUUGCCCUUGAUCAAAGUUAACUAAAGAGAGCAGAUGACUGGGUAGAGUGUGUAAAAGCUUUAUUUACCCAUUUACGCUUUAAGCGCCUCCCGGUUAGCUCAAUGGAUAGAGCGCUGGACUGUUGUACGGGAGGUCGAGGGUUCGA
Stylophora pistillata is the source of this 428-nucleotide long non-coding RNA. RefSeq lists it as uncharacterized. The record is from RefSeq and is a predicted model, not a curated record. NCBI's taxonomy places the organism in Eukaryota, Metazoa, Cnidaria, Anthozoa, Scleractinia, Pocilloporidae.